This 166-nucleotide microRNA precursor is filed under the name Arabidopsis lyrata. Its description in RNAcentral is "miR395c stem-loop (aly-MIR395c)". Its record names the gene aly-MIR395c. The stretch from base 28 to 146 matches the Rfam family "mir-395 microRNA precursor family". Rfam says of the family: mir-395 was identified in both Arabidopsis thaliana and Oryza sativa computationally and was later experimentally verified. mir-395 is thought to target mRNAs coding for ATP sulphurylases. The record is from miRBase by way of RNAcentral. Lineage: Eukaryota; Viridiplantae; Streptophyta; Magnoliopsida; Brassicales; Brassicaceae.
AUGACAGAGCUACAAGAAGAAAGUCAAAUGUCUUCAUGAGUUCCCUUUAACGCUUCAUUGUUAAUAUUCAAACUACAUUUAUUUCCAUAAAUGUUUGAUCGAUUUGUAUAUAACACUGAAGUGUUUGGGGGGACUUUUGGUGUCAUUCUGGCGUAGUUACGAUUAU